Molecule: ribosomal RNA, 226 nt
Filed under: uncultured bacterium
Lineage: Bacteria
Description: partial 16S ribosomal RNA
Rfam family: Bacterial small subunit ribosomal RNA
Source: RNAcentral
GUACAACAUAGGUAUUUGCCUUCAAGUGGGGGACAACUUGAGGAAACUCAAGCUAAUACCGCAUAUUCCUUACGAGGGAAAGCGUGGGCUCUUCGGACCACGCGCUUGAAGAGAAGCCUAUGCCGGAUUAGCUUGUUGGUAGGGUAAAGGCCUACCAAGGCGAUGAUCCGUAGCUGGUCUGAGAGGAUGAUCAGCCACACUGGGACUGAGACACGGCCCAGACUCC